Molecule: ribosomal RNA, 404 nt
Filed under: uncultured Rhizobium sp.
Lineage: Bacteria; Pseudomonadati; Pseudomonadota; Alphaproteobacteria; Hyphomicrobiales; Rhizobiaceae
Description: bacterial SSU rRNA
Rfam family: Bacterial small subunit ribosomal RNA
Source: RNAcentral
AACGAACGCUGGCGGCAGGCUUAACACAUGCAAGUCGAGCGCCCCGCAAGGGGAGCGGCAGACGGGUGAGUAACGCGUGGGAAUCUACCGUGCCCUACGGAAUAGCUCCGGGAAACUGGAAUUAAUACCGUAUACGCCCUACGGGGGAAAGAUUUAUCGGGGUAUGAUGAGCCCGCGUUGGAUUAGCUAGUUGGUGGGGUAAAGGCCUACCAAGCGACGAUCCAUAGCUGGUCUGAGAGGAUGAUCAGCCACAUUGGGACUGAGACACGGCCCAAACUCCUACGGGGAGGCAGCAGUGGGGAAUAUUGGACAAUGGGCGCAAGCCUGAUCCAGCCAUGCCGCGUGAGUGAUGAAGGUCUUAGGAUUGUAAAGCUCUUUCACCGGUGAAGAUAAUGACGGUAACC